GCCGAGGUCGCAUAAUGGUGGUGCACUGGUCUUGAAAACCAGCGGCCGUAAGGUCAUGUGGGUUCGAAUCCCAUCCUCGGCG
This 82-nucleotide transfer RNA is filed under the name Candidatus Aenigmatarchaeota archaeon. RNAcentral describes it as "tRNA-Ser". It matches the Rfam family "tRNA". From Rfam's summary of the family: Transfer RNA (tRNA) molecules are approximately 80 nucleotides in length. The record is from RNAcentral. Lineage: Archaea; Nanobdellati; Candidatus Aenigmatarchaeota.